GAGGGGACUAGAUGGAGGGACUGGGUAGAUGGUUGGUUUCAUGGCCGCUCAUGCGUACGUCCACUGUGUUUGGGAGUAGUCUAGACAUAUGGCCUUUCCUUUCCCUGUACAUUCUCGCUCAGCUUAGAUCCAAGGAUAUCGCGCGGACCUUAACUAUGUAUACACGUAGAUACUCUGGAGCUCUUCAGCGGCAUUUGAUUGACAACGAAGAGAGAAAAGAUGUGGGACUUUCCGAACAGCAAACUCCCCUUAUCAACAAUUCCAAGGUUGUGCAUACAGUGCCCACCAUGCGUAAUAUAUAUCAAUUCCAUCAUUGCCCCCU
Molecule: small RNA, 322 nt
Filed under: Histoplasma capsulatum var. duboisii H88
Lineage: Eukaryota; Fungi; Ascomycota; Eurotiomycetes; Onygenales; Ajellomycetaceae
Description: Histoplasma capsulatum H88 hypothetical RNA
Source: RNAcentral